RNAcentral lists this ribosomal RNA (484 nucleotides) under uncultured bacterium. Its description in RNAcentral is "partial 16S ribosomal RNA". It matches the Rfam family "Bacterial small subunit ribosomal RNA", at positions 30 to 507 of the family's 1533-position model. The record is from RNAcentral.
AUUGAACGCUGGCGGCAGGCCUAACACAUGCAAGUCGAGCGGAUGAAGGGAGCUUGCUCCUGGAUUCAGCGGCGGACGGGUGAGUAAUGCCUAGGAAUCUGCCUGGUAGUGGGGGAUAACGUCCGGAAACGGGCGCUAAUACCGCAUACGCCCUGAGGGAGAAAGUGGGGGAUCCUCGGACCUCACGCUAUCAGAUGAGCCUAGGUCGGAUUAGCUAGUUGGUGGGGUAAAGGCCUACCAAGGCGACGAUCCGUAACUGGUCUGAGAGGAUGAUCAGUCACACUGGAACUGAGACACGGUCCAGACUCCUACGGGAGGCAGCAGUGGGGAAUAUUGGACAAAGGGCGAAAGCCUGAUCCAGCCAUGCCGCGUGUGUGAAGAAGGUCUUCGGAUUGUAAAGCACUUUAAGUUGGGAGGAAGGGCAGUAAGUUAAUACCUUGCUGUUUUGACGUUACCAACAGAAUAAGCACCGGCUAACUUCGUG